GGUUCGACUCCGGAGAGGGAGCCUGAGAAACGGCUACCACAUCCAAGGAAGGCAGCAGGCGCGCAAAUUACCCACUCUCGGCACGAGGAGGUAGUGGCGAAAAAUAACGAGACGGAUCUCUUUGAGGCCCGUUAUCGGAAUGAGAACAAUUCAAAUCCUUUAACGAGGAUCUAGCGGAGGGCAAGUCUGGUGCCAGCAGCCGCGGUAAUUCCAGCUCCGCAGGUGUAUAUCUAUGCUGCUGCGGUUAAAAAGCUCGUAGUUGGAUCUGCGUGCUCGGAACUGGUUGGCUCACUGAGUUCAAACUGGUCUCCGGCGCUUUAUUGGCUGGUUUUCCCUUGAUGCUCUUAACCGGGUGUCUUGGGUGGCUAGCACGUUUACUUUGAAAAAAAUUAGAGUGCUCAAUACAGGCGUAAAGCCUUGAAUAGUGGUGCAUGGAAUAAUAGAAUAGGACCUCGGCUCUAUUUUGUUGGUUUUCGGAACGCGAGGUAAUGAUUAAGGGGGACAGACGGGGGCAUUCGUAUUGCGACGUUAGAGGUGAAAUUCUUGGAUCGUCGCAAGACGGACGACUGCGAAAGCAUUUGCCAAGAAUGUUUUCAUUAAUCAAGAACGAAAGUUAGAGGUUCGAAGGCGAUCAGAUACCGCCCUAGUUCUAACCGUAAACGAUGCCAACUAGCGAUUCGCAGGCGUUAAACAACGACCUUGCGGGCAGCUUCCCGGAAACGAAAGUGUUCGGGUUCCGGGGGAAGUAUGGUUGCAAAGCUGAAACUUAAAGGAAUUGACGGAAGGGCACCACCAGGAGUGGAGCCUGCGGCUUAAUUUGACCCAACACGGGAAAACUCACCCGGCCCGGACACCGUAAGGAUUGACAGAUUGAGAGCUCUUUCUUGAUUCGGUGGGUGGUGGUGCAUGGCCGUUCUUAGUUGGUGGAGCGAUUUGUCUGGUUUAUUCCGAUAACGAACGAGACUCUGGCCUACUAAAUAGUGGGCGGAUUCUUUCUGUCCGCAACACUUCUUAGAGGGACAAGCGGUGUUCAGCCGCACGAGAUUGAGCAAUAACAGGUCUGUGAUGCCCUUAGAUGUCCGGGGCUGCACGCGCGCUACACUGAAGGAAUCAGCGUGCUUUCUGACCUUGCCCGAAAGGGCUGGGUAACCCGAUGAAAAUCCUUCGUGAUUGGGAUAGGGACUUGCAAUUAUUUCCCUUGAACGAGGAAUUCCCAGUAAGUGUGGGUCAUAAGCUCGCGUUGAUUACGUCCCUGCCCUUUGUACACACCGCCCGUCGCUGCCCGGAACUGAGCCGUUUCGAGAAGAACAGGGACCGUCGUUGAAGGGCCUUAACGGGCUUUUCUCUGAUAGAAACUGUUUUAAUCGCAGUGGCUUGAACCGGGCAAAAGUCGUAACAAGGUU
Molecule: ribosomal RNA, 1403 nt
Filed under: metagenome
Description: SSU rRNA
Rfam family: Eukaryotic small subunit ribosomal RNA
Source: RNAcentral